Molecule: long non-coding RNA, 1384 nt
Filed under: Capra hircus (goat)
Lineage: Eukaryota; Metazoa; Chordata; Mammalia; Artiodactyla; Bovidae
Description: lncRNA (ENSCHIG00000001725.1)
Source: RNAcentral
AUGACACCAGAGAGGUCCAGGCACAUCCUGUGGAAAACACACGCACCAACUUGGUCUAACCACACGCUUGCCAAACGCUCUGACCCCACGCUCUUUUCUCUGGGAAAACUCACUCAUGGCCGGAAAGAGAGCAGGGACCUGCGGCCCUGACUGCGGGCUUCUCUUCGCAGCCUGUUCCUCGCCCGCAGGGACCUGGCACACAGGUGUCCGGGGACCUCACGGACCGGGAUUCUGAUCAAAGAGCUCGGUGGACCUAAAGCCAGGGAGUAACCAGACAGGCUCCUCAAACCGCCCCUCCCUGCCUGGCCCCUUCCCGGGGGGUUUUAGGCCGGGAGCCUCCUCCCCGGGGGGCCCUGGCUCCAGCGCCCAGCAGACUCUCACCUGCCCCCAGCGUCGGAGCUGAUCAAACGCAAGGCAGACAGAGGCAUCCUGCAAUUACGAGGUUGAAGAGCACAGCUGCAGGCGCCCAGAGACCUGGGCCGCGCUUUGAUCAAUGAUUCACGAGGUUCCUGAGGAAGGAGAGGCACGGCCCGACACCCGGUCCAGCUCUCCUGUCCUGGAAGCCUGGAGCCGCCCCAGCAGGCGGGCACUUACACAGUCGGAUCUGAGCCUUGGAGGCACUGCAGUUGUGUGAGAAUGAAAGCUACACAGGCCGUGUCCCUCUCUGCUGACCCUUGAAACCAGAACCUGGAACGGGGCAGAGGUGGGAGACGGGCAGAAAGAAGUUCCUGAUGGGAGAGUUUCCAGCCUGCGUGGACGACCCCUCCCAGGAGACGGAACUCCAUUCCCACCAUCUGGACCCCAUGCACUCUGCGCAGGUCUUGGUGACUGCUUCAGAAGGAGAGGGGGCUGCAGAGCCCUGAAGGUCGGCCCGGUGACCCAUGGGCGACAUCGGGCCCGGCGACAUUGCCUGCUUCCCCUAAACCUCUUCUUUGCUUCCACGUCUGCUCAGUGAAAUGGAAGACAGUCCCUUCUCAGCCGGAACUGCCCACCCUGAAGCCACGUGGACCAGCCGGGCUCUCUGGUCCUUCAUGCCACGUCACCUGGGGACUGCUAGGGAACACGGGCUCUCUCUGCCAACCAGCCAGCACCCCGGGUUUUGCUCCCUGGCCCUGGGGAGCCUCCGGGCUGGCUGGAACCACUAAUACCCACAUGCGUUAUGCCUCCAUUGCCCACCAAGCUGGGCCAUCUGACCGGCAGCAGGACGGCGUGCUCUUGGCUUUUAGGGCUUGGAAGCCUCAGUGGCCCCCCGUGGAAGGCCCUGUCCACCCGACGGUCCCUCAGCCUCCGUGCUGGACAUCAACCUUCUUUCCUCUGAGCUCCACUGCUGUCUCCAGCUGUAAUUACUCCCUCACCUUCCUCCCCACAGUUAUUCCAAAACCUG